This 493-nucleotide unclassified non-coding RNA is filed under the name uncultured eukaryote. Its description in RNAcentral is "partial contains fungal ITS1, 5.8S rRNA and ITS2". The stretch from base 130 to 283 matches the Rfam family "5.8S ribosomal RNA". The record is from RNAcentral.
GGCUUUGCCUGCUAUCUCUUACCCAUGUCUUUUGAGUACCUUACGUUUCCUCGGUGGGUUCGCCCACCGAUUGGACAAAUUUAAACCCUUUGCAGUUGAAAUCAGCGUCUGAAAGAACUUAAUAGUUACAACUUUCAACAACGGAUCUCUUGGUUCUGGCAUCGAUGAAGAACGCAGCGAAAUGCGAUAAGUAGUGUGAAUUGCAGAAUUCAGUGAAUCAUCGAAUCUUUGAACGCACAUUGCGCCCCUUGGUAUUCCAUGGGGCAUGCCUGUUCGAGCGUCAUUUGUACCUUCAAGCUCUGCUUGGUGUUGGGUGUUUGUCUCCUGUAGACUCGCCUCAAAACAAUUGGCAGCCGGCGUAUUGAUUUCGGAGCGCAGUACAUCUCGCGCUUUGCACUCAUAACGACGACAUCCAAAAGUACAUUUUUACACUCUUGACCUCGGAUCAGGUAGGGAUACCCGCUGAACUUAAGCAUAUCAAUAAGCGGAGGAA